UCCCGACCCUUAGAGCAUCGACCCCUGCAUCGAUCAGAUUCUUCGCCUGAGCAGCCGUCACCACUGAAGCAAACAGACGAAGAUGGGCUCUCAGACUAACCUAUCGACAGCAAGGGCACGUGCAAACUGCUGUGCCCAAAUGAUUAGAGACAUGGGGCUGACAGGACAGACUGCUGAGAAGUUCCAUAUUGGUCCCUCUGUGUUAUUUGUUUUAAGUAUCAGGUAAUUAAAGGACACAGUACUGUUAUUUCACAC
This is a long non-coding RNA of Emys orbicularis (European pond turtle), 255 nucleotides long. RefSeq lists it as uncharacterized. The record is from RefSeq and is a predicted model, not a curated record. The transcript is spliced from 2 exons. Lineage: Eukaryota; Metazoa; Chordata; Testudines; Emydidae.